UACGGAGGGGGCAAGCGUUAUUCGGAAUUAUUGGGCGUAAAGGGCGCGUAGGCGGCUAGAUGUGUCAAAGGUGAAAUCCCUCGGCUUAACCGAGGAACUGCCAUCCAGACUGCUUUGCUUGAGGCCGGGAGAGGUGAGUGGAAUUCCCAGUGUAGCGGUGAAAUGCGUAGAUAUUGGGAGGAACACCAGUGGCGAAGGCGGCUCACUGGACCGGUUCUGACGCUGAGGCGCGAAAGCGUGGGGAGCAAACGGG
This 253-nucleotide ribosomal RNA is filed under the name uncultured bacterium. RNAcentral describes it as "partial 16S ribosomal RNA". It matches the Rfam family "Bacterial small subunit ribosomal RNA", at positions 524 to 776 of the family's 1533-position model. The record is from RNAcentral.